This 598-nucleotide long non-coding RNA is filed under the name Androctonus crassicauda. The record is from RNAcentral. Lineage: Eukaryota; Metazoa; Arthropoda; Arachnida; Scorpiones; Buthidae.
CGUACACCUGUAAUAAUAAAAAUUAAUUAAUUAGUGACAAAAUAUAAGUGUCAUUAUUAAACUUUAUCUUUUAUAAAAGUUAUAAAUAGAUUUUAAAACGGUCAGUGAAACAGUGGAAAGUAUACGAUAAAUCAAAUUAUCUUCUGUCGCAACUCUUAUCAUCGAUUGUGUACCCCUUUUUAGUUGGUGCGCUUGCGCAAUACGACUACAUUUAAGGCGAAUUAAUAGUCUUGGACGUAGUCAUUGCUGGGAGUUGUUCGAAGUUUUGAUGUAUCGUAUGUUUUAUAGUUAAGUCGUUAUGGGAAGUUUAAUGACAAGAAUCGAAUCUAUAAUUUUACCUAUUAGAAAUUUUCCCGUGUUGACAUAUUGGUUUCGAAGGGAAAGUGCUGCCGAAAUCGAAGAACGGGUAAUUUUUUACUGUCUUAUUCAUCUUGCCUUUAUUGAUAUGACAACUAUUUUUAAAACUGCGAAAUGCGAAAUUUAUAUUUACGAUUGUUUUUUUUUUUUUUUACUUCGUGUACUUAAGCAUAAUAAAUUAGUUAUAAUUAAUUCAUUAAUAGAUUAUUAGUUUCAAUUCACUUGAAAUUAUUGUAUGUAC